This 1021-nucleotide long non-coding RNA is filed under the name Sorghum bicolor (sorghum). RNAcentral describes it as "long non-coding RNA (SBIC_LNC002859)". The record is from RNAcentral. Lineage: Eukaryota; Viridiplantae; Streptophyta; Magnoliopsida; Poales; Poaceae.
UAUAAAGCAUAGUGACAUUGUCUUCUCUCUCACCCUACUCUAAUAAGGCUUUAAUAUCUGGAGCUCAUAGGUGGGAGAUAAAAUAUACAUACUUACAAGACAUUUAUUGCAUAGUCAAACCAUGGAUCCAAAGUAACAAGUCAAUAAGUUUAAUCAAGAUGUGCAUGUGUGGCGAAUGAAUGGUAUAUGGUGAUGAUGGUGAUAACAAUGGUGGUGGAAGUCUAAUUCUACUUUGCUCUUUUGAGGGGAUACAUACCUUCCUUGCUUUUGAAACUUUAUGAGGAGAAUGAGAUGCUCUUCUUUUUCUUUUCUCUUAGGUGGGUAUCUUGCACCCCUAAUUCUACUGUCGGACACUUGUCCAUUUUUACCUCUCGUCUCACUUUUUCUUUUCUUUCGAGGUUCCGAGCACUUGCUCCUUUUUAUUUCCUCGUAUUAUUAUUAUUUUUUUUAAUAUUGAGCAUUCAUCUCAUGAGAUAAUAUAGCAAGUGGUAGUAACAAGAUAACUUGAGCAUUUAUUUCACAAGGGAAAAACAGAAAUAUUUUUGGUUAUUCUCUCCCGGAUUAGGAGCAGAAUAUUUUUAGGUGGUUCUGGAGAUGGAAUGGGUGGAUAUAUGUGGAUGGUACUUCCGGAAUAGAAGUAGCAUAUAUGAGUGAACGUGUAAGUGAAAUCUUGAUUUAACCACAUGACAAGCUCCUAAGGGUCUACACAGCUUGACCACACUCAAUGCUCAUAAGCAGUAAAUAAUAAAUGUGUGGCUCAAAGUCUAGCAAGCAUGUAUAUAUGGCUGUGGUAGGAAUUUAAGCUCUCAUCAUACAGGAACUCAUCAUGCAACAUUUUAAAGAUUUUCAAAGAUAAAAUUCUCCAGAAUUCUAGCAUCUCUAGGAACAGAUAAACAGCAGCUCAGCCUUCCCAUAUCGUAUCCGUUAACAACUUAGACUUCAGAUCAAGUUUUUAUCCCACAAGUAUAGGUCUAGAGCAAGCUUUAAAUUAUAACAUUUAUAUCUAAACUUGAGAGAGAAC